UGCCCAGAUGGGAUUAGCUUGUUGGUGAGGUAACGGCUCACCAAGGCGACGAUCCCUAGCUGGUCUGAGAGGAUGACCAGCCACACUGGAACUGAGACACGGUCCAGACUCCUACGGGAGGCAGCAGUGGGGAAUAUUGCACAAUGGGCGCAAGCCUGAUGCAGCCAUGCCGCGUGUAUGAAGAAGGCCUUCGGGUUGUAAAGUACUU
RNAcentral lists this ribosomal RNA (208 nucleotides) under Salmonella enterica. Its description in RNAcentral is "partial 16S ribosomal RNA". It matches the Rfam family "Bacterial small subunit ribosomal RNA", at positions 228 to 435 of the family's 1533-position model. Lineage: Bacteria; Pseudomonadati; Pseudomonadota; Gammaproteobacteria; Enterobacterales; Enterobacteriaceae. The record is from RNAcentral. RNAcentral also lists the same sequence under 1 other name.